Molecule: ribosomal RNA, 408 nt
Filed under: uncultured bacterium
Lineage: Bacteria
Description: bacterial SSU rRNA
Rfam family: Bacterial small subunit ribosomal RNA
Source: RNAcentral
CAGCAGCCCGGUAAUACGGAGGGUGCAAGCGUUAUUCGGAUUCACUGGGCGUAAAGGGUGCGCAGGCGGCCAGGUGUGUCAGGUGUGAAAGCCCGAGGCUUAACCUCGGAAUUGCGCCUGAAACUGCUUGGCUAGAGCAUUGGAGAGGGUAGCGGAAUUCACGGUGUAGCAGUGAAAUGCGUAGAUAUCGUGAGGAACACCAGAGGCGAAGGCGGCUACCUGGACAAUUGCUGACGCUCAGGCACGAAAGCGUGGGGAGCAAAAGGGAUUAGAUACCCCUGUAGUCCACGCCCUAAACGGUGCACACUAGGUCUUGGAGGAUUCGACCCCUUCAGGGCCCAAGCUAACGCGUUAAGUGUGCCGCCUGAGGACUACGGCCGCAAGGCUAAAACUCAAAGGAAUUGACGG